GAUGAACGCUGGCGGCGCGCCUAACACGUGCAAGUCGAACGAUUAAAGCACCUUCGGGUGUGUAUAAAGUGGCGAACGGCUGAGUAACACGUGGGCAACCUGCCCCUUUCAUUGGGAUAGCCACGGGAAACCGUGGAUAAUACCGAAUACUUCGAGACUUCCGCAUGGAAGACUCGAGAAAGCUCCGGCGGAGAGGGAUGGGCCCGCGGCCUGUUAGCUUGUUGGUGGGGUAACGGCCUACCAAGGCAAUGAUGGGUAGCUGGGUUGAGAGACCGACCAGCCAGAUUGGGACUGAGACACGGCCCAGACUCCUACGGGAGGCAGCAGUGGGGAAUCUUGCACAAUGGGCGAAAGCCUGAUGCAGCGACGCCGCGUGCGGGAUGAAGGCCUUCGGGUUGUAAACCGCUUUCAGCAGGGACGAGGCGAAAGUGACGGUACCUGCAGAAGAAGCCCCGGCUAACUACGUG
This 467-nucleotide ribosomal RNA is filed under the name uncultured bacterium. Its description in RNAcentral is "partial 16S ribosomal RNA". It matches the Rfam family "Bacterial small subunit ribosomal RNA", at positions 28 to 507 of the family's 1533-position model. The record is from RNAcentral.